This 77-nucleotide transfer RNA is filed under the name Hyphomicrobiales bacterium. RNAcentral describes it as "tRNA-His". It matches the Rfam family "tRNA". From Rfam's summary of the family: Transfer RNA (tRNA) molecules are approximately 80 nucleotides in length. RNAcentral also lists the same sequence under 3 other names. The record is from RNAcentral. Lineage: Bacteria; Pseudomonadati; Pseudomonadota; Alphaproteobacteria; Hyphomicrobiales.
GCAGCUGUAGCUCAGUUGGUUAGAGCGCCUGACUGUGGAUCAGGAGGUCGGUGGUUCGAAUCCACCCAGCUGUACCA